This 511-nucleotide ribosomal RNA is filed under the name uncultured bacterium. RNAcentral describes it as "bacterial SSU rRNA". It matches the Rfam family "Bacterial small subunit ribosomal RNA", at positions 15 to 518 of the family's 1533-position model. The record is from RNAcentral.
GAUCCUGGCUCAGGAUGAACGCUAGCUACAGGCUUAACACAUGCAAGUCGAGGGGCAGCAUGGGAUUAGCUUGCUAAUCCUGAUGGCGACCGGCGCACGGGUGAGUAACGCGUAUCCAACCUUCCCCUUACUCAGGGAUAGCCCGGUGAAAACCGGAUUAACACCUGAUGGUUUCAUUAGAUGGCAUCUGACGAUGAAUAAAGGCUUACGGUAAGGGAUGGGGAUGCGUCUGAUUAGCUUGUUGGCGGGUAACGGCCACCAAGGCUACGAUCAGUAGGGGUUCUGAGAGGAAGGUCCCCCACAUUGGAACUGAGACACGGUCCAAACUCCUACGGGAGGCAGCAGUGAGGAAUAUUGGUCAAUGGGCGAGAGCCUGAACCAGCCAAGUAGCGUGCAGGAUGACGGCCCUAUGGGUUGUAAACUGCUUUUGUACGGGAAUAAAGUCAUCCACGUGUGGAUGUUUGCAUGUACCGUAAGAAUAAGGACCGGCUAAUUCCGUGCCAGCCGCGGC